Molecule: transfer RNA, 73 nt
Filed under: Lentisphaerota bacterium
Lineage: Bacteria; Pseudomonadati; Lentisphaerota
Description: Lentisphaerae bacterium (hot springs metagenome) tRNA-Phe
Rfam family: tRNA
About the family: Transfer RNA (tRNA) molecules are approximately 80 nucleotides in length. Their secondary structure includes four short double-helical elements and three loops (D, anti-codon, and T loops).
Source: RNAcentral
GGCGAGAUAGCUCAGUUGGUAGAGCAGCGGACUGAAAAUCCGUGUGUCGUCGGUUCGAUUCCGACUCUCGCCA